RNAcentral lists this ribosomal RNA (329 nucleotides) under uncultured eukaryote. RNAcentral describes it as "partial 18S ribosomal RNA". It matches the Rfam family "Eukaryotic small subunit ribosomal RNA", at positions 1470 to 1796 of the family's 1831-position model. The record is from RNAcentral.
CCCUUAGAUGUUCUGGGCCGCACGCGCGCUACACUGAUGCAUUCAACGAGUCUAAAACCUGCUCUGAUAGGGGUGGGUCAUCUUUUGAAUGUGCAUCGUGAUUGGGAUAGAUGAUUGCAAUUUUUCAUCUUCAACGAGGAAUGCCUAGUAAACGCAAGUCAUCAGCUUGCAUUGAUUACGUCCCUGCCCUUUGUACACACCGCCCGUCGCUCCUACCGAUUGAAUGAUCCGAUGAAUAUCAUGGAUUGAGGAUGCAAUCAGGUUCGCCUGUCUUCAUCUUCGAGAAGUGAAGUAAAUCUUAUCAUUUAGAGGAAGGAGAAGUCGUAACA